Molecule: long non-coding RNA, 858 nt
Organism: Cyprinus carpio carpio
Lineage: Eukaryota; Metazoa; Chordata; Actinopteri; Cypriniformes; Cyprinidae
Source: Ensembl
UUUCGCACCCCGAUGGCGGUGAAACCUCAGACCUUGUUUUUCCGCAUUAUACCAGUUGUCUCAGACAGUGUCUUGUCACUCGCAGGGCAGCAUGAGUCCAGAGUGUUGUUGUGUUGACAGGCAGAGCUGUGCAGUGUUACCUGUGGAAGUUUGCAUGCACAAAUGAGCAGAAUGGUUUCGGAUGGUGAUGUAGUCGCUCUGGAAGCACUGCAGGCGAUUCAAGGUGGACAAAAUGCAUCACACUUUUGGCUGCAAAAUAAUCAUCACAACAUCCUCACAUUGCGUUCGGAAGUUGCAUCCAAUUUGACGAGUGUGUGUAUGAAGCAUGCGGCGAAAUCUAGACAUUGCACGACUAAUGAACGCAGUGGUGAAGUAUCUGCGACGUGACCUCGGUUAAACACCUCCAGAUUGAUGUCAUCUAUACAAGCUGUUUUCACAGGUCCAGAACGCGAGGGAUAACGUGACACGGUGCUAGAGCGAGGUCUCCGAGACUCAUCAUCAAAGACUUGAGCGGUGCUUUCUAAUCGGUCGCGGGGAGAGUCGGUUGUGCCAGGGAGACAGGUGAGAUGAACUGAUAAGAAGAGCCUAUUUCAGGCUGCUGAGGGGGAGGACGAUGUGACUCCUAUCAGAUGACCGCUGGGAUGCUGACAUACGUGUUACUCUAGAAUAAGGCACAGCUGAGAGGUGAUUAGGUAAAACUUUGAAAACUAACUGUAGGCUCUGAUUUGUGAGGAAAAUAAAUACACGCCACUAACCGUUGCGUUUUGGAAAAGCGUUCAACAAUUGCAAAAUCAUUUUCCCUAAUUACACUGCAUGCAUUAUUUUUUCCUCGAAUAAAGACGUUUUCUUUACUAGCCA